RNAcentral lists this non-coding RNA (108 nucleotides) under unclassified sequences. RNAcentral's name for it is "drum RNA". It matches the Rfam family "drum RNA". Rfam says of the family: Firmicutes, Bacteroidetes (1 example), Proteobacteria (2 examples), Spirochaetes (2 examples). The record is from Rfam by way of RNAcentral.
AAGCGUUGAAGUAAUACGUUGUUUCAGGACGCAGUGUUUAUGGAGCUUUAUAAGGGUUAUAUAUUUACCACAACCUGGAUAGGGGAGACCCGAAAGAAAAUAUAGUAU